This 632-nucleotide ribosomal RNA is filed under the name Salmonella enterica. RNAcentral describes it as "partial 23S ribosomal RNA". It matches the Rfam family "Bacterial large subunit ribosomal RNA", at positions 2202 to 2829 of the family's 2925-position model. Lineage: Bacteria; Pseudomonadati; Pseudomonadota; Gammaproteobacteria; Enterobacterales; Enterobacteriaceae. RNAcentral also lists the same sequence under 1 other name. The record is from RNAcentral.
ACCCUUUAAUGUUUGAUGUUCUAACGUGGACCCGUGAUCCGGGUUGCGGACAGUGUCUGGUGGGUAGUUUGACUGGGGCGGUCUCCUCCUAAAGAGUAACGGAGGAGCACGAAGGUUGGCUAAUCCUGGUCGGACAUCAGGAGGUUAGUGCAAUGGCAUAAGCCAGCUUGACUGCGAGCGUGACGGCGCGAGCAGGUGCGAAAGCAGGUCAUAGUGAUCCGGUGGUUCUGAAUGGAAGGGCCAUCGCUCAACGGAUAAAAGGUACUCCGGGGAUAACAGGCUGAUACCGCCCAAGAGUUCAUAUCGACGGCGGUGUUUGGCACCUCGAUGUCGGCUCAUCACAUCCUGGGGCUGAAGUAGGUCCCAAGGGUAUGGCUGUUCGCCAUUUAAAGUGGUACGCGAGCUGGGUUUAGAACGUCGUGAGACAGUUCGGUCCCUAUCUGCCGUGGGCGCUGGAGAACUGAGGGGGGCUGCUCCUAGUACGAGAGGACCGGAGUGGACGCAUCACUGGUGUUCGGGUUGUCAUGCCAAUGGCACUGCCCGGUAGCUAAAUGCGGAAGAGAUAAGUGCUGAAAGCAUCUAAGCACGAAACUUGCCCCGAGAUGAGUUCUCCCUGAGACUUAAAGUCUCCU